This 1336-nucleotide ribosomal RNA is filed under the name Halophytophthora avicenniae. Its description in RNAcentral is "eukaryotic LSU rRNA". It matches the Rfam family "Eukaryotic large subunit ribosomal RNA", at positions 26 to 1155 of the family's 3401-position model. The record is from RNAcentral. Lineage: Eukaryota; Oomycota; Peronosporomycetes; Peronosporales; Peronosporaceae.
CGCUGAACUUAAGCAUAUUAAUAAGCGGAGGAAAAGAAACUAACAAGGAUUCCCCUAGUAACGGCGAGUGAAGCGGGAUGAGCUCAAGCUUAAAAUCUCCGUGCACGUUGUGCGCGGCGAAUUGUAGUCUAUUGAUGCGUGAUCAGCGCGGACGCUCGGGGUAAGUUCCUUGGAAGAGGACAGCAUGGAGGGUGAUACUCCCGUUUGUACCUGAGUGUUUUGCGCGUACGGUCCGUUUUCUUUGAGUCGCGUUGUUUGGGAAUGCAGCGCAAAGUAGGUGGUAAAUUCCAUCUAAAGCUAAAUAUUGGUGCGAGACCGAUAGCGAACAAGUACCGUGAGGGAAAGAUGAAAAGAACUUUGAAAAGAGAGUUAAAGAGUACCUGAAACUGCUGAAAGGGAACCGAAUCGUUUCCAGUGUCUAUAAUCUGCGGCAUAUUUCACGUGCGAGUGCGUGCGUUUCGGCUUGGUGGCAGCGGUCUUUUGGCUGCGCCCGUUGCUGUUUGUGCGUGUGCUUGCGUGUGCCCUGUGCUGCGGUGGGACGUCAGGGUCAGUUCGUAUGCUGCGGGAAAUGGCCGUCGGGGAGGUAGGUCUUGAGCUCUGCUUUUGGCUAUUAUAUCUCGGCGGUUGAGUCGUCGCGGUUGGGACUGAGGUGCCUACAACGUGCUUUUGAGCGCGUGCGUGUCUCUGUGUGCGCGCUGUGCGGAUAGCUUGCUAUGCGCGUGGCGUUGCGUGCGGAUUGAUAUGCGCUGCUGCUUGUUGCCGUUCGGGACUUUGACGAAAUGGCGCGAUCCGACCCGUCUUGAAACACGGACCAAGGAGUCUAACACGCGUGCAAGUGUUUUGGUGUGGAAACCAUAACGCGCAAUGAAAGUAAAGGGCGCCUUACGGCGUCUGAGGUAGGAAACCUUGUCGUUUUUCGGCGGGGUGGCACUAUCGACCGAUCAUGAGCCUUCGUGGCGAAAGAUUUGAGUUUGAGCACGUGUGUUGGUACCCGAAAGAUGGUGAACUAUGCCUGAGUAGGGUGAAGCCAGGGGAAACUCUGGUGGAAGCUCGUAGCGAUUCUGACGUGCAAAUCGAUCGUCAAACUUGGGUAUAGGGGCGAAAGACUAAUCGAACCAUCUAGUAGCUGGUUCCCUCCGAAAUUUUCCCUCAGGAUAGCAGCAACUUUUUUACGAUAGUUUUAUGAGGUAAAGCGAAUGAUUAGAGGAUUCGGGGAAGAAACUUCCUCGACCUAUUCUCAAACUUUAAAUCUGUAAGACCUGCAGGUUUCUUAAUUGAACUUGCGGAUGUGAAUAUCAAGUUGCUAGUGGGCCAUACGGGGUAAGCUCGUCUGGCG